Molecule: ribosomal RNA, 381 nt
Filed under: marine Metazoa environmental sample
Lineage: Eukaryota; Metazoa
Description: SSU rRNA
Rfam family: Eukaryotic small subunit ribosomal RNA
Source: RNAcentral
AGCUCCAAUAGCGUAUAUUAAAGUUGUUGCAGUUAAAAAGCUCGUAGUUGGAUCUCGGGAGCAGGCCGGCGGUCCGCCUCGCGGCGGGUUCUUCCUGUCCCGCCCCUCCUGCCGGGUUUUCCCCCGGGCUCUUCAUUUAGUGCCCCCGGUGGCCGGAACGUUUACUUUGAAAAAAUUAGAGUGUUCAAAGCAGGCAGUUCGCCUGAAUAAUGGUGCAUGGAAUAAUGGAAUAGGACCUCGGUUCUAUUUUGUUGGUUUUCGGAACUUGAGGUAAUGAUUAAGAGGGACAGACGGGGGCAUUCGUAUUACACUGUUAGAGGUGAAAUUCUUGGAUCGGUGUAAGACGAACUACUGCGAAAGCAUUUGCCAAGAAUGUUUUCA